GACGAACGCUGGCGGCGUGCUUAACACAUGCAAGUCGAACGGAAAGGCCCCUUUGGGGGUACUCGAGUGGCGAACGGGUGAGUAACACGUGAGUAACCUGCCCUUGACUUCGGGAUAACUUCAGGAAACUGGGGCUAAUACCGGAUAGGAAUCCUUGCUGCAUGGUGGGGGUUGGAAAGCUUCGGGGGGUUUGGAUGGACUCGCGGCUUAUCAGCUUGGUGGUGGGGUAGUGGCUUACCAAGGCUUUGACGGGUAGCCGGCCUGAGAGGGCGACCGGCCACAUUGGGACUGAGAUACGGCCCAGACUCCUACGGGGGGCAGCAGGGGGGAAUAUUGCACAAUGGGCGGAAGCCUGAUGCAGCAAAGCCGCGGGCGGGAUGACGGUCUUCGGGUUGGAAACCGCUUUCAGCAGGGGCGAAGCUUGUGGUGACGGUACCUGCAGAAGAAGCACCGGCUAACUACGUG
RNAcentral lists this ribosomal RNA (465 nucleotides) under uncultured bacterium. Its description in RNAcentral is "partial 16S ribosomal RNA". It matches the Rfam family "Bacterial small subunit ribosomal RNA", at positions 28 to 507 of the family's 1533-position model. The record is from RNAcentral.